RNAcentral lists this ribosomal RNA (430 nucleotides) under uncultured bacterium. Its description in RNAcentral is "bacterial SSU rRNA". It matches the Rfam family "Bacterial small subunit ribosomal RNA", at positions 355 to 776 of the family's 1533-position model. The record is from RNAcentral.
UGGGGAAUAUUGCGCAAUGGUCGAAAGACUGACGCAGCGACGCCGCGUGUGGGAGGAAGCCCUUCGGGGUGUAAACCACUGUCGGGAGGGACGAAUCCCGGACGGGCAAAUAGCCCGGACGGUUGACGGUACCUUCAAAGGAAGCACCGGCUAACCCUGUGCCAGCAGCCGCGGUAAUACAGGGGGUGCAAGCGUUGUUCGGAAUUACUGGGCGUAAAGCGCGGGCAGGUGGCCUUUUAAGUCCUUUGUGAAAUCCCGGAGCUCAACUCCGGAUGUGCAUAGGAUACUGGAGGGCUUGAGACUGGUAGAGGCGAGCGGAAUUCCUGGUGUAGCGGUGGAAUGCGUAGAUAUCAGGAAGAACACCGGUGGCGAAGGCGGCUCGCUGGGCCAGAUCUGACACUCAGCCGCGAAAGCGUGGGGAGCAAACAGG